RNAcentral lists this transfer RNA (78 nucleotides) under Bartonella sp. N40. RNAcentral's name for it is "tRNA-Ile". It matches the Rfam family "tRNA". Rfam says of the family: Transfer RNA (tRNA) molecules are approximately 80 nucleotides in length. Their secondary structure includes four short double-helical elements and three loops (D, anti-codon, and T loops). The record is from RNAcentral. Lineage: Bacteria; Pseudomonadati; Pseudomonadota; Alphaproteobacteria; Hyphomicrobiales; Bartonellaceae.
GGGCUUGUAGCUCAGUUGGUUAGAGCGCGCCGCUUGAUAASCGUGAGGUCGGAGGUUCAAGUCCUCCCAGGCCCACCA